RNAcentral lists this ribosomal RNA (513 nucleotides) under Bathycalanus bradyi. RNAcentral's name for it is "eukaryotic LSU rRNA". It matches the Rfam family "Eukaryotic large subunit ribosomal RNA", at positions 95 to 548 of the family's 3401-position model. The record is from RNAcentral. Lineage: Eukaryota; Metazoa; Arthropoda; Copepoda; Calanoida; Megacalanidae.
GAAACGGGAAUAGCCCAUCGCGGAACUGCAGGUCAACUUGGCCUCGCGGAAUGUCGCGUUCGGGAGAGUCUUCUCGAGGACCGGACGGUCAGUCAAAGUCCAACUUGACAGUGGCCACUGCCCAUAGAGGGUGAUAGGCCCGUAAGGCGACUGUCCGUUCUCGCUGACUUUUCCCUAGAGUCGGGUUGCUUGGGAGUGCAGCCCAAAGUGUGAGGUAAACUCCUCAUAAGGCUAAAUAUGACCCCGAGACCGAUAGCAAACAAGUACCGUGAGGGAAGAUUGAAAAGAACUUUGAAGAGAGAGUUCAAUAGUACGUGAAACUGUGUGGUGGUAAACGGAGGGGUUCUCGAAGUUUCUGUGGGGAACUCAACCUUGGAGGCGUGCGGACCUGUUGUAUUUGAUCAGCGAUGACUUUGCAGCUUCUCUGGCAAGUCUCUCGGGCGCAUUUCCCCCGCAGUUUACGGCAGGAACCGUUUGGAGUGGACCGAAGGCCCUGGGUGAAGUUAUCGGUUC